GCGAGGAUGGCGGAACAGGCAGACGCGCUGGAUUUAGGAUCCAGUGGGGUAACCCGUGGGGGUUCAACUCCCCCUCCUCGCA
RNAcentral lists this transfer RNA (82 nucleotides) under bacterium. Its description in RNAcentral is "tRNA-Leu". It matches the Rfam family "tRNA". Rfam says of the family: Transfer RNA (tRNA) molecules are approximately 80 nucleotides in length. The record is from RNAcentral. RNAcentral also lists the same sequence under 5 other names.